Rhincodon typus (whale shark) is the source of this 1483-nucleotide long non-coding RNA. RefSeq lists it as uncharacterized. The record is from RefSeq and is a predicted model, not a curated record. The transcript has 4 exons. Lineage: Eukaryota; Metazoa; Chordata; Chondrichthyes; Orectolobiformes; Rhincodontidae.
CUGCCAAUCGCUACUGCCUUAUCGGCCCGCUGUUGCUGCUAACUGCUACUGCCUUAUCGGCCCGCUGUUGCUGCUAACUGCUACUGCCUUAUCGGCCCACUGUUGCUGCUAACUGCUACUGCCUUAUCGGCCCACUGUUGCUGCUAACUGCUACUGCCUUAUCGGCCCACACUCACCCCCUGCAGCUGCCUCACCAGCCUGCUCUCGCUGCCAACUUCACUCUGGCCCACACUUGAUCCGCCGUCGCUGCAGGACACAGCCCACGCAUUCGGCUCCCGGUAUGCGACCCGACUCCUAAGACCUGUCAUUUUGGAUCUAUCCUUGGGCCAGUCCCUUCAUCUUGAAUUUUGCUUAAAAGAAGGAAGAAGUUCCCAACUCUGAAGAGCAUUUGGCUGCCAGAUCUGCUGUUGAGAUCACUAGUGCUGAUAUCCGGAGAUCCCCUUGACUUGUUGCCAGAUCCAACUUGUUGUCAGGAAAGGUGAAAACCACACCACGGAACUCACAAUCUUCAUGGGCAGGCAACACGAGCACAGUUGCUUCACCACUGACCACAGAAUACUGUCUGGUGUGUAAAAUGGGCUUUUAUUCUGCUGUAACAAUAAAGAGUGCUCAACAAGUCUUUAUCACAAUUUUAACAGAUCCAUUUUAGGUGUCAACAUGAAAAAUGGUUCUGCAGUGGAGUAUUUCAUAAACACCAAUUACUUAGAGUGACAUAUUCUACUUUGAUCGCCAUUUUGUCAAUAAAUUAACCACGUUGACUAGUCAAGAAGCUAAGACACAUUCCAAGCUGAUAGCAGUCAGGAUCCAUUGUUGAAUGCAGGAAAAGAGAAAAGGAAACAAAAUUCACCUUCAUAUCAUAUGAAAUCCCUUUUUGGGGGAGGGGAGCUAAUCACUCAAUUGGUUAAAACUUAAUGACACCAACAUGCCUAAGUUCAGUCUCUGUGUUGGCAGGGUUUUCUUGGGUAACACGUCCACAUCUUGCCCAUUAGUUAUAUCACGACAUCGAAAUGCAUGGACAGCCAAGAUUUUUCUCGUUCCAUAUAUCUGUCUUGUAACUUGUGAGUCACAACACUAUUUUCUGCAUUGACUUAAUGAGUAUUAUAAAAACAUUCAAAUCCAUCAACAUAAUAUUAAGAUUUGCAAUGCUGGUAAUCUCUUUCAAUCCCACAAGCCUGUGGGAUCUCUCUCCAAACCCCUUCCAAAUCCACACACAGCUCCUGAUAUGCCUGUAUUUGCCAAAUGUGAUCACAUUGCUGGCUGGAACCUUCAGUCAGUUUUCAUACAAAAGGAAUAGCAACUGGAAUGAAACGACUGGGAAGUGUGCUAUAUUUAGACAAGAAGGGGCAUUGAAGCUAAGUACAGUAUCUCUUUAAAGAAACCAGUUGAGAGACAAGAAGUACUUAAUACCUAGUGAUUCAGUUGCUCAAUAGAUGAGCAUGGACUCAAACAGAGCUCAAGAAAGAUUUUCAUUUCACAAUAUCUC